Molecule: ribosomal RNA, 489 nt
Filed under: uncultured bacterium
Lineage: Bacteria
Description: partial 16S ribosomal RNA
Rfam family: Bacterial small subunit ribosomal RNA
Source: RNAcentral
GACGAACGCUGGCGGCGUGCUUAACACAUGCAAGUCGCGGGGCAGCAUGGGGGUUGCUUGCAAUCCCCGAUGGCGACCGGCGCACGGGUGAGUAACGCGUAUCCAACCUGCCCUUCACCACGGGAUAACCCGGCGAAAGUCGGACUAAUACCGUAUGUUGUCCAUUGACGGCAUCCGAUUUGGACGAAAGGUUUGGCGGUGAAGGAUGGGGAUGCGUCCGAUUAGCUGGACGGCGGGGUGACGGCCCACCGUGGCGACGAUCGGUAGGGGUUCUGAGAGGAAGGUCCCCCACACUGGAACUGAGACACGGUCCAGACUCCUACGGGAGGCAGCAGUGAGGAAUAUUGGUCAAUGGGCGUAAGCCUGAACCAGCCAAGUAGCGUGCAGGAUGACGGCCCUAUGGGUUGUAAACUGCUUUUAUGCGGGGAUAAAGUGGCCCACGUGUGGGUUUUUGCAGGUACCGCAUGAAUAAGGACCGGCUAAUUCCGU